RNAcentral lists this transfer RNA (66 nucleotides) under Microhyla pineticola (pine narrow-mouth frog). RNAcentral's name for it is "partial tRNA-Val". It matches the Rfam family "tRNA". Rfam says of the family: Transfer RNA (tRNA) molecules are approximately 80 nucleotides in length. Lineage: Eukaryota; Metazoa; Chordata; Amphibia; Anura; Microhylidae. The record is from RNAcentral.
AUGUAGCUUAAUUAAAGCAUCUCGCUUACACCGAGAAUAUGUCUGUUAAACUCGGAUCAUCUUGAG